Molecule: long non-coding RNA, 1456 nt
Filed under: Helianthus annuus (common sunflower)
Lineage: Eukaryota; Viridiplantae; Streptophyta; Magnoliopsida; Asterales; Asteraceae
Description: hypothetical non coding rna
Source: RNAcentral
CACACAUUACUCUCUCUCCCCUCUCUCUCUCUCUCUCUCUCGACGGCACAGAGAUCUCGAUCAGUGAUGCCCUUGCCCCAAACAAGUCUUCACUUCUAAUCAAUCACCGGUUCUGUCUUCAAUUUCUGGUAAAUGCUUUUCUGUUUCUUAAUCUCAUCGAUUUUCGACUUUUGAAGAUUACCGAAGCAAGUUUAUCUUGAAAACAUCAUGGCUAUUGAUGCUGUUGUGUCGGAAUCAGCCCAUGUGUCUGUUGAGAAUGUGAAGAAAGAGAGCAGUGCGAAUGGGCAUGUUGGUGAAAAUGAAUCCGGUCCUCACGUGAGUGAAUUAUAGUCUAUGUUAAAAAACACAGUGCCAUACUAAAGAUAUGAUGCCAAUUAUAACAACACUAACUGAUAUUCUUUGCCAUUAAGUGCAACAUCUAGUGAACCUUCUACAUAAUAAUAACAAUCUUCUCUUGGUUUUAAAAAGCGCGAGGCUCAACAAGGCUAACACCCUAGGGCUUUUUCGCUCAGCGCCUAGAGUAAUUACAAGAAGCCCUAAAAAGGCGCGUUUUUUUGGGAUUUUUCUGGGCUUUUUUGGACCGAGGCGUUUUUAUGCAUCUAACUGUUGUACCUUGGGUUUUUUUGGCUUGUACAUGCAGCUAAAAUCAUACAAAAACCUUAUAGCUAUAUUUUGGGUAGAAAGCUAAAAACCUAUGGAUAUAUAGAAAAUAUAUAUAAUUAGCUUGCGCCUUAGGUACGAAAAGCCCACCGCUUUUGCGCUUCGUGCCUCGGUUUUAGACCUCGUCGCUUUUGUGCGCAUCUCGCUUUUUAAAACCAAGAAUCUUCUACAUAAUAUAACUUUCUAAGCAUCACAGUGACCAUUUAUCUUAACCUGGGUUUUAAAAAGCGCACCUGAGGCGCGUCUAGGCACAGGCCUCAGCACCUUAUGCUUGGUUUAAAAAAGCGCGCUUGAAGCGCGCUUGAGGCGAUGAAGCGAUGAAGCGAUUGGAAAAACGCUUUUUUGGCUCUGAAGCGAUGCAUUACAUGAAGCGACCUGAAGCGAGCUUUAAGCGGUGAAGCGUUGAAGCUGUGAAGCUACGCUCCAGCCAAUCAGGUCACCAUUUGGGCCAUUUUUUAAGCCCAGCAGUCUUUACAAAGUACAUAUCGACCUUAUAUCAACGAUAUAGCGACUUCCUAUGUGAAAUCCGGCGACAAAUUCCGGCGACGGAGUUGCUUUCAGCCGGAAACCAGGAAGAAGGGGGAAGAAGAAGAGAGAUGCUGACGGUGACGGCUGCGUAUAUGUAUUUUAGGUUUUUAGGGUUUUUAUAAGUUAAGGUUUUUAAACAUUUAACCCCUCUUAUCUUUCAUUAGUUUACAUUCAGUCCCUAAAACUUCUAACUUUUUACUUAAAAAGUGUAAAGAUAGUUUGUCUAUUUAAACAUUUAACCCCCUCUAUCUUCAGUAGUUUACAUUUG